GGACCUACGGGACGCAGCAGUCGGGAAUAUUGCACAAUGGAGGAAACUCUGAUGCAGUGACACCGCGUAUAGGAAGAAGGUUUUCGGAUUGUAAACUAUUUUAGACAGGGAAGAAAAAAGACAGUACCUGUAGAAUAAGCUCCGGCUAACUACGUGCCAGCAGCCGCGGUAAUACGUAGGGAGCAAGCGUUAUCCGGAUUCAUUGGGUUUAAAGGGUGCGUAGGUUGUUUUAUAAGUUAGCGGUGAAAUACCGAUGCUCAACAUCGGGGCUGCCGCUAAUACUGUAGGACUAGAGAUCGGAUGCA
This 305-nucleotide ribosomal RNA is filed under the name uncultured bacterium. Its description in RNAcentral is "bacterial SSU rRNA". It matches the Rfam family "Bacterial small subunit ribosomal RNA", at positions 335 to 656 of the family's 1533-position model. The record is from RNAcentral.